RNAcentral lists this ribosomal RNA (253 nucleotides) under uncultured prokaryote. RNAcentral's name for it is "partial 16S ribosomal RNA". It matches the Rfam family "Bacterial small subunit ribosomal RNA", at positions 525 to 777 of the family's 1533-position model. The record is from RNAcentral.
ACGGAGGGUGCAAGCGUUAGUCGGAAUUACUGGGCGUAAAGGGUGCGUAGGCGGGAUUAUAAGUCAGAUGUGAAAAACCAAAGCUCAACUUUGGCAGUGCAUCUGAAACUGUGAUUCUAGAGGUAUAGCGGAGAAAACGGAAUUCCACGUGUAGCGGUGAAAUGCGUAGAUAUGUGGAAGAACACCUGUGGCGAAAGCGGUUUUCUAGCUUACACCUGACGCUGAGGCACGAAAGCAAGGGGAGCAAACAGGA